AAUAUUAGGGAGCUACCAUUUGAUUUUUAUGGGGGGGCUAGGAUGAAAAAUUUUGUCCUGCUUUUUUUUUUAGUUGUAAUCUCUGUCCUGCCUUUUUAUUUUUUACUCUAUUCGGUCCUGCCUUUUUUUUUACAAGUUUAUCCUGACUUUUUUUACCCAAAUUGUCAUCCUGCCUUUUUUUUUGCCAAGAUGCCCAUCCUGCCUUUUUUUUUACUCAAAACUCCUGUCCUGCCUAUUUUUUCCAAAUUUCAUCCUAGCCCCCCCCAUAAAAAUCAAAUGGUAGCUCCCUUAC
This 292-nucleotide long non-coding RNA is filed under the name Mytilus galloprovincialis (Mediterranean mussel). The record is from RNAcentral. Lineage: Eukaryota; Metazoa; Mollusca; Bivalvia; Mytilida; Mytilidae.